AUUGAACGCUGGCGGCAUGCCUAACACAUGCAAGUCGAACGGCAGCACAGUAAAGAUUUCGGUCUUUAUGGGUGGCGAGUGGCGGACGGGUGAGUAAUGCGUAGGAAUCUGUCCUGGAGAGUAGGAUAACCCGAGGAAACUCGGGCUAAUACUGCAUGAUAUCGAGAGAUCAAAGGCAGGGGGCCCUUCGGGGCCUUGCGCUCUAGGAUGAGCCUACGUCGGAUUAGCUAGUUGGUGGGGUAAAGGCCUACCAAGGCGACGAUCCGUAGCUGGUCUGAGAGGAUGACCAGCCACACUGGGACUGAGACACGGCCCAGACUCCUACGGGAGGCAGCAGUGGGGAAUCUUGGACAAUGGGGGAAACCCUGAUCCAGCGAUGCCGCGUGUGUGAAGAAGGCCUUCGGGUUGUAAAGCACUUUAGUUGGGGAAGAAAAGUAAUGAGUGAAUAACUGAUUGCUCUGACGGUACCCAAAGAAUAAGCACCGGCUAACUCUGUGCCAGCAGCCGCAGUAA
RNAcentral lists this ribosomal RNA (513 nucleotides) under uncultured bacterium. Its description in RNAcentral is "partial 16S ribosomal RNA". It matches the Rfam family "Bacterial small subunit ribosomal RNA", at positions 30 to 523 of the family's 1533-position model. The record is from RNAcentral.